AGGGGCUGCGGAAGGAUCAUUAACGAGUUCUGAAAGGGGUUGUAGCUGGCCUUCCGGGGCAUGUGCACACCCUGCUCAUCCACUCUACACCUGUGCACUUACUGUAGGUUUGGCGUGGGCUUCGGGGCCUCCGGGCUCUGAGGCAUUCUGCCGGCCUAUGUAUCACUACAAACACAUAAAGUAACAGAAUGUAUUCGCGUCUAACGCAUCUAAAUACAACUUUCAGCAACGGAUCUCUUGGCUCUCGCAUCGAUGAAGAACGCAGCGAAAUGCGAUAAGUAAUGUGAAUUGCAGAAUUCAGUGAAUCAUCGAAUCUUUGAACGCACCUUGCGCUCCUUGGUAUUCCGAGGAGCAUGCCUGUUUGAGUGUCAUGGAAUUCUCAACCCACACGUCCUUGUGAUGUUGCGGGCUUGGAUUUGGAGGCUUGCUGGCCCUCUGCUGUCGGCUCCUCUUGAAUGCAUUAGCUUGAUUCCGUGCGGAUCGGCUCUCAGUGUGAUAAUUGUCUACGCUGUGACCGUGAAGCGUUUGGCGAGCUUCUAACCGUCCUGUAUGGGACAACUUCUUGACAUCUGACCUCAAAUCAGGUAGGACUACCCGCUGAACUUAAGCAUAUCAAAACCCGG
This 623-nucleotide ribosomal RNA is filed under the name Trametes sanguinea. RNAcentral describes it as "eukaryotic LSU rRNA". The stretch from base 218 to 371 matches the Rfam family "5.8S ribosomal RNA". The record is from RNAcentral. Lineage: Eukaryota; Fungi; Basidiomycota; Agaricomycetes; Polyporales; Polyporaceae.